Molecule: non-coding RNA, 392 nt
Organism: Pelodiscus sinensis (Chinese soft-shelled turtle)
Lineage: Eukaryota; Metazoa; Chordata; Testudines; Trionychidae
Source: RefSeq, a predicted model, not a curated record
UUUCACACACUCAGCAACUGACCUAAUAAUCUGUCACAAACCUUGUAGCCAUUCAGAGUGGAUUUGAUUUACAUCAGGACUUAAAUUACCUGUCAGGAAGACUCAAUUUAAUCAUGGUUUUCUAUAUAAAAGUCCAUUCUUGUUGAAAAAGCAACUGAAACCAGAAUAAUCAACCCUGACAGGAAAAAUACAUUAAUGGGAGCAAGCAAUAAAAAAAUAAACUAGAGAGCUAAGUAAUGGCAAAUCGACGUAAGAGGAUUUACUUAAUUAAUCCUGUGUUGCAGAACUAUCCGAAUGGUAUCUGUCUACUCCAUAUGUAAUUAUUUAUUACUUACUGUUAACUUUUUAGAAAGAAAUAAAACAUCUUGUAACAAGGAAGACUACAUGAACUA